This 774-nucleotide ribosomal RNA is filed under the name uncultured Neocallimastigales. Its description in RNAcentral is "partial large subunit ribosomal RNA". It matches the Rfam family "Eukaryotic large subunit ribosomal RNA", at positions 20 to 649 of the family's 3401-position model. Lineage: Eukaryota; Fungi; Neocallimastigomycota; Neocallimastigomycetes; Neocallimastigales. The record is from RNAcentral.
UACUAGAGUAGCACUCGCAUAUCAAUAAGCGGAGGAAAAGAAACUAACAAGGAUUCCCCUAGUUACGGCGAGUGAAGCGGGAAGAGCUCAAAUUUGAAAUCUUAAAGGGUUUCCCUUUACGAAUUGUAGUUUAAAGAAGUGUUUUCUGUUGAGGUUUUGGUAAAAGUUCUUUGGAAUAGGACAUCAUAGAGGGUGAGAAUCCCGUAUUUGACCUUUACUUUCAACUUUGUGAUACACUUUCAAAGAGUCGGAUUGUUUGGGAAUGCAGUCCAAAAUGGGUGGUAAAUUUCAUCUAAAGCUAAAUAUUGGCGAGAGACCGAUAGCGAACAAGUACCGUGAGGGAAAGAUGAAAAGAACUUUGAAAAGAGAGUUAAACAGUACGUGAAAUUGUCAAAAGGGAAGCGUUUGACACCAGUGUUGUUUUUCUGAAAAUCAAUUAAAGAACUGUUUAUGCUAAGCUGUUUAGACUUUAUCAGCUAUCUGUUUAGUUUUGAGCUUUUCUUUAAUGCACUUUUCAGUUAACAAGUCAACAUCAAUUUCUUUUGCUGUAAAAAAGCUUGAGGAAGGUGGCUUGAGAUUCGUCUUAAGUGUUUAUAGCCUCUUGCCUAUGCAGUCGGAGAGAUUGAGGUCUGCAGCGUAGAUCCUUCGGGGCUAAAUGCAUUUGUGCUAAGUUAUAGCAUUUUAUAGACAACUUGUUGACUAUGAUUUGUCUUGUAGCUUACUCGCUUAUGUUAUUUUACCUACGCUUAGGAUGUUGAGUAGCGACAUACGCAC